RNAcentral lists this ribosomal RNA (465 nucleotides) under Vreelandella stevensii. Its description in RNAcentral is "partial 16S ribosomal RNA". It matches the Rfam family "Bacterial small subunit ribosomal RNA", at positions 338 to 795 of the family's 1533-position model. The record is from RNAcentral. Lineage: Bacteria; Pseudomonadati; Pseudomonadota; Gammaproteobacteria; Oceanospirillales; Halomonadaceae.
CCUACGGGGGGCAGCAGUGGGGAAUUUUGGACAAUGGGCGAAAGCCUGAUCCAGCCAUGCCGCGUGUGUGAAGAAGGCCUUCGGGUUGUAAAGCACUUUCAGUGGGGAAGAAAGCCUUGGGGCUAAUACCCUCGAGGAAGGACAUCACCCACAGAAGAAGCACCGGCUAACUCCGUGCCAGCAGCCGCGGUAAUACGGAGGGUGCGAGCGUUAAUCGGAAUUACUGGGCGUAAAGCGCGCGUAGGCGGUCUGAUAAGCCGGUUGUGAAAGCCCCGGGCUCAACCUGGGAACGGCAUCCGGAACUGUCAGGCUAGAGUGCAGGAGAGGAAGGUAGAAUUCCCGGUGUAGCGGUGAAAUGCGUAGAGAUCGGGAGGAAUACCAGUGGCGAAGGCGGCCUUCUGGACUGACACUGACGCUGAGGUGCGAAAGCGUGGGUAGCAAACAGGAUUAGAUACCCCUGUAGUC